AGCGAACGCUGGCGGCAGGCUUAACACAUGCAAGUCGAACGGGCGUAGCAAUACGUCAGUGGCAGACGGGUGAGUAACGCGUGGGAACGUACCUUUUGGUUCGGAACAACACAGGGAAACUUGUGCUAAUACCGGAUAAGCCCUUACGGGGAAAGAUUUACCGCCGAAAGAUCGGCCCGCGUCUGAUUAGCUAGUUGGUGAGGUAAUGGCUCACCAAGGCGACGAUCAGUAGCUGGUCUGAGAGGAUGAUCAGCCACACUGGGACUGAGACACGGCCCAGACUCCUACGGGAGGCAGCAGUGGGGAAUAUUGGACAAUGGGGGCAACCCUGAUCCAGCCAUGCCGCGUGAGUGAUGAAGGCCCUAGGGUUGUAAAGCUCUUUUGUGCGGGAAGAUAAUGACGGUACCGCAAGAAUAAGCCCCGGCUAACUUCGUG
Molecule: ribosomal RNA, 435 nt
Filed under: uncultured bacterium
Lineage: Bacteria
Description: bacterial SSU rRNA
Rfam family: Bacterial small subunit ribosomal RNA
Source: RNAcentral